RNAcentral lists this ribosomal RNA (517 nucleotides) under uncultured archaeon. RNAcentral describes it as "bacterial SSU rRNA". It matches the Rfam family "Archaeal small subunit ribosomal RNA", at positions 340 to 859 of the family's 1478-position model. The record is from RNAcentral.
CGCGAAACCUCUGCAAUAGGCGAAAGCUUGACAGGGUUACUUUGAGUGAUUCCCGCUAAGGGGAUCUUUUGGCACCUCUAAAAAUGGUGUAGAAUAAGGGGUGGGCAAGUCUGGUGUCAGCCGCCGCGGUAAUACCAGCACCCCGAGUGGUCGGGACGAUUAUUGGGCCUAAAGCAUCCGUAGCCGGUACUGCAAGUCUUCCGUUAAAUCCACCUGCUCAACAGUUGGGCUGCGGAGGAUACUACAGCGCUAGGAGGCGGGAGAGGCAAGCGGUACUCAUUGGGUAGGGGUAAAAUCCACUGAUCCAUUGAAGACCACCAGUGGCGAAGGCGGCUUGCCAGAACGCGCUCGACGGUGAGGGAUGAAAGCUGGGGGAGCAAACCGGAUUAGAUACCCGGGUAGUCCCAGCUGUAAACGAUGCAGACUCGGUGAUGGGCUGGCCUUGUGCCAACCCAGUGCCGCAGGGAAGCCGUUAAGUCUGCCGCCUGGGGAGUACGGUCGCAAGACUGAAACUUAA